Long non-coding RNA from Dalotia coriaria, 411 nucleotides. RefSeq lists it as uncharacterized. Lineage: Eukaryota; Metazoa; Arthropoda; Insecta; Coleoptera; Staphylinidae. The record is from RefSeq and is a predicted model, not a curated record. The transcript has 3 exons.
UUUGCUGGUUUUGUCGGUGACAGUAUUUUUCGCAUCGGCGGCGUGGAAUGGAAACAACAUCGCAAAGCAAUGGGACCCACCAUGCAUCCGGAUGUAAUUGCUCCAUAUACAGAUGAUAUGAGAAAAUGCGCGGAUGUCCUUGCGGAAAAAUGGCUGGCAAAAGUUGGAACCACGUUUGAUAUAACAUAUGAUAUAGCUAAAUGCAUUAUUGAGAUGUUUGUUAAAGCUGCAUUUGACGUUGAAGUAGACGUACAAACUAAAGGCGCUGAAUUAAACACCAAUGCAGAGACUUUUUUGGAGUUGACUAUGUACAGAGUUAUUUCACUAAUAAAACAUCCAGAUUUCUUGUAUAAAUGGACCAAAGAUUAUAGAACCCAACAAAAAGCAUUAAAUUAUGCCCUUGAAUUCGGC